ACACGGUAGUUGCCUAAACCUAACAAAGUAGUUUUGUUGCCUAAACCUAACCAAGCUGCAAAUACUAACUGGAAACAUAUUAACUGAAAAUAAUUUAAAAGAAACCCUAAAACAAUCUAAUGUCUAAAAAUAAAUAAUAAAUUCUGACUUUUGGCUGUCUUAGGUCAAAGACUUUAUAUUUGACACCAGAACCUCCUAUAACCUAUGUGGCCUUUAUCACUCUUUAUACUAACAGUUUGUUGCUCGUUGAAACAGCAAAGUUAGUCUUGGUUUUACUUGUUGUAUGACUGCAGAUGCACUUCUAACUCUGAAACAAAAAUGUUUUGAACCGGCUCCCGGUAUAUCAGCCAUUGCAGAGUAGGGUUGGGCCGAUAGACGAUGCCGUUGUCCAUCGGCGAUGACUGACAGACAUCACAACGGCUUGACGUCAAAAGGAGUGGCCAAACGUGUGUAGCGAUUCACUGCCUGGCAAUUUGCAGGUUGCCCUGAGACGUUCAAGUACAAGGGCUACUUCUGUGCAAGCUAGUUAGCACAGGUCAUAGAUUUUCAUUGUAGCUGAUAGAGCGAGCAUGUUCCUGUUUUAAAAAAAUGCAAAGAGAGAGCAGCUUUUGCCAGCAAGAAUGACUUUGACAGUCUCAUGAACAAUGAGAGGAAGGAAGUAUGAUAACAGUACCUUCUACUUUACUACCACAUUUGUCCAGAAUUCUGGGUCUGUCGGAUCCAAAAAACACCUUUUGAGGAUUGCA
Molecule: long non-coding RNA, 746 nt
Organism: Micropterus dolomieu (smallmouth bass)
Lineage: Eukaryota; Metazoa; Chordata; Actinopteri; Centrarchiformes; Centrarchidae
Exons: 4
Source: RefSeq, a predicted model, not a curated record